AGCGGCGGACGGGUGAGUAACGCGUGGGUAACCUGCCCUGUACACACGGAUAACAUACCGAAAGGUAUGCUAAUACGAGAUAAUAUACUUUUAUCGCAUGGUAGAAGUAUCAAAGCUUUUGCGGUACAGGAUGGACCCGCGUCUGAUUAGCUAGUUGGUAAGGUAACGGCUUACCAAGGCGACGAUCAGUAGCCGACCUGAGAGGGUGAUCGGCCACAUUGGAACUGAGACACGGUCCAAACUCCUACGGGAGGCAGCAGUGGGGAAUAUUGCACAAUGGGCGAAAGCCUGAUGCAGCAACGCCGCGUGAGCGAUGAAGGCCUUCGGGUCGUAAAGCUCUGUCCUCAAGGAAGAUAAUGACGGUACUUGAGGAGGAAGCCCCGGCUAACUACGUGCCAGCAGCCGCGGUAAUACGUAGGGGACUAGCGUUAUCCGGAAUUACUGGGCGUAAAGGGUGCGUAGGUGGUUUCUUAAGUCAGAGGUGAAAGGCUACGGCUCAACCGUAGUAAGCCUUUGAAACUGGGAAACUUGAGUGCAGGAGAGGAGAGUGGAAUUCCUAGUGUAGCGGUGAAAUGCGUAGAUAUUAGGAGGAACACCAGUUGCGAGGGCGGCUCUCUGGACUGUAACUGACACUGAGGCACGAAAGCGUGGGGAGCAAACAGGAUUAGAUACCCUGGUAGUCCACGCCGUAAACGAUGAGUACUAGCUGU
RNAcentral lists this ribosomal RNA (710 nucleotides) under uncultured bacterium. RNAcentral describes it as "bacterial SSU rRNA". It matches the Rfam family "Bacterial small subunit ribosomal RNA", at positions 94 to 823 of the family's 1533-position model. The record is from RNAcentral.